RNAcentral lists this ribosomal RNA (175 nucleotides) under uncultured bacterium. RNAcentral's name for it is "partial 16S ribosomal RNA". It matches the Rfam family "Bacterial small subunit ribosomal RNA", at positions 1318 to 1500 of the family's 1533-position model. The record is from RNAcentral.
CCGUGAAGCUGGAUUCGCUAGUAAUCGCGCAUCAGCCAUGGCGCGGUGAAUACGUUCCCGGGCCUCGUACACACCGCCCGUCAAGCCAUGGAAGCCGGGAGUGCCUGAAGUGCGUGACCGCAAGGAGCGUCCUAAGGCAAUACCGGUGACUGGGGCUAAGUCGUAACAAGGUAGC